RNAcentral lists this ribosomal RNA (253 nucleotides) under uncultured bacterium. RNAcentral's name for it is "partial 16S ribosomal RNA". It matches the Rfam family "Bacterial small subunit ribosomal RNA", at positions 524 to 776 of the family's 1533-position model. The record is from RNAcentral.
UACGUAGGGUGCGAGCGUUAAUCGGAAUUACUGGGCGUAAAGCGUGCGCAGGCGGUUUUGUAAGUCUGUCGUGAAAUCCCCGGGCUCAACCUGGGAAUUGCGAUGGAGACUGCAAGGCUAGAAUCUGGCAGAGGGGGGUAGAAUUCCACGUGUAGCAGUGAAAUGCGUAGAGAUGUGGAGGAACACCGAUGGCGAAGGCGGCCCCCUGGGUCAAGAUUGACGCUCAUGCACGAAAGCGUGGGGAGCAAACAGG